RNAcentral lists this ribosomal RNA (600 nucleotides) under Hylarana chalconota (copper-cheeked frog). Its description in RNAcentral is "partial 16S ribosomal RNA". The stretch from base 345 to 592 matches the Rfam family "Archaeal large subunit ribosomal RNA", at positions 1787 to 2143 of the family's 2987-position model. Lineage: Eukaryota; Metazoa; Chordata; Amphibia; Anura; Ranidae. The record is from RNAcentral.
UUAUUUGAAACAGGAUACAACCUCAUAUAUAGGGUAAGCAAAAAGAAAAUAAAAUAAAGUAGGCCUAAAAGCAGCCAUCUUUAAGAAAGCGUCACAGCUCUGCUACACUUAAUUUAUAAUCCCCUUAAUUUCCCCCAACCCUUCCCCCCCACUGAACCACUUUAUACUUAUAUAAAAAUUAUUAUGCUAGGACUAGUAACAAGAACUUACCUUUCUCCUCAAUAUAAGUAUAAGUCAAUACGGAUUAUCCAUUGACAAUUAACGUUUAUGAACCCCUUAUAAUAACUCUGACUAGAAAACCUUAUAUUUUUAAACGUUAACCUUACACUAGCAUAUUUAAGGAAAGAUUAAAAGAAAGAGAAGGAACUCGGCAAACUUUAACCCCGCCUGUUUACCAAAAACAUCGCCUCUUGACAAACAUAAGAGGUCCAGCCUGCCCAGUGACAAUGUUCAACGGCCGCGGUACCCUAACCGUGCAAAGGUAGCAUAAUCACUUGUUCUUUAAAUGGGGACUUGUAUCAAUGGCACCACGAGGGUUGCACUGUCUCCUUUUUCCAAUCAGUGAAACUGAUCUCCCCGUGAAGAAGCUGGGAUUUUAAC